CAACCCUCAAGCUCUGCUUGGUAUUGGGCUUCACCCGCAAGGGCGGGCCUUAAAAUCAGUGGCGGUGCCAUUCGGCUUCAAGCGUAGUAAUUUUCUCGCUCUGGAGUACCGGCUGUGUGCCUGCCAGCAAACCCCAAUUUUUUAAA
This 146-nucleotide unclassified non-coding RNA is filed under the name uncultured Helotiales. RNAcentral's name for it is "sequence contains ITS2". The record is from RNAcentral. Lineage: Eukaryota; Fungi; Ascomycota; Leotiomycetes; Helotiales.